GACAGAGGGUGCAAACGUUGUUCGGAAUUACUGGGCGUAAAGCGCGUGUAGGCGGCAGCGUGUGUCGGGCGUGAAAUCCCACGGCUUAACCGUGGAAGUGCACCCGAAACUGCGCAGCUAGAGUCCUGGAGAGGAAGAUGGAAUACUUGGUGUAGAGGUGAAAAUUCGUAGAUAUCAAGUGGAACACCGGUGGCGAAGGCGGUCUUCUGGACAGUGACUGACGUGAGACGCGAAAAGCGUGGGGAGCAAACAGG
This 254-nucleotide ribosomal RNA is filed under the name uncultured bacterium. Its description in RNAcentral is "partial 16S ribosomal RNA". It matches the Rfam family "Bacterial small subunit ribosomal RNA", at positions 524 to 776 of the family's 1533-position model. The record is from RNAcentral.